This 301-nucleotide ribosomal RNA is filed under the name uncultured bacterium. Its description in RNAcentral is "partial 16S ribosomal RNA". It matches the Rfam family "Bacterial small subunit ribosomal RNA", at positions 509 to 807 of the family's 1533-position model. The record is from RNAcentral.
CAGUCGCCACGGUAAUACGUAGGGUGCAAGCGUUAAUCGGAAUUACUGGGCGUAAAGCGUGCGCAGGCGGUUUGUUAAGACAGAUGUGAAAUCCCUGGGCUCAACCUGGGAACUGCAUUUGUGACUGGCAAGCUAGAGUAUAGCAGAGGGGGGUGGAAUUCCGCGUGUAGCAGUGAAAUGCGUAGAUAUGCGGAGGAACACCGAUGGCGAAGGCAGCCCCCUGGGCCAAUACUGACGCUCAUGCACGAAAGCGUGGGGAGCAAACAGGAUUAGAUACCCGAGUAGUCCCUGUCUCUUAUAC